CCCCUGCAUCCAGUUGCCAUCGGGCGAGCCGGGCACUCUGGAGGGACUGCCGGCGACAAGCCGGAGGAAGUGGGGAUGACGUCAAGUCAUCAUGGCCCUUAUGUCCAGGGCGACACACGUGCUACAAUGGCCGGCACAGCGGGAAGCGGAGGGGCGACCCUGAGCGGAUCCCUUGAAAGCCGGUCCCAGUUCGGAUUGCAGUCUGCAACUCGACUGCAUGAAGUUGGAAUCGCUAGUAAUCGCGGAUCAGCCAAGCCGCGGUGAAUACGUUCCCGGGCCUU
This 281-nucleotide ribosomal RNA is filed under the name uncultured Thermovirga sp. RNAcentral describes it as "partial 16S ribosomal RNA". It matches the Rfam family "Bacterial small subunit ribosomal RNA", at positions 1102 to 1382 of the family's 1533-position model. The record is from RNAcentral. Lineage: Bacteria; Thermotogati; Synergistota; Synergistia; Synergistales; Thermovirgaceae.